Molecule: ribosomal RNA, 420 nt
Filed under: uncultured bacterium
Lineage: Bacteria
Description: bacterial SSU rRNA
Rfam family: Archaeal small subunit ribosomal RNA
Source: RNAcentral
UUACGGGAGGCAGCAGUCGCGAAAACUUCGCAAUGGGGGAAACCCCGACGAGGGAAUUCCAAGUGCUAGCACUUUGUGUUAGCUGUUCUUCUGUCUAAAAAACAGGAGAAGUAAGGGGCGGGUAAGACGGGUGCCAGCCGCCGCGGUAAUACCCGCGCCCCGAGUGGUGGUCGAUAUUAUUGAGCCUAAAACGUCCGUAGCCGGUCUUCUAAAUCCUUGGGUAAAUCGGGCAGCUUAACUGUCCGAAUUCCGGGGAGACUGGGAGACUUGGGACCGGGAGAGGUCAGAGGUACUUCUGGGGUAGGGGUAAAAUCCUGUAAUCCUGGAAGGACCACCGGUGGCGAAGGCGUCUGACUAGAACGGAUCCGACGGUGAGGGACGAAGCCCUGGGGCGCAAACGGGAUUAGAUACCCCGGUAGC